CGCUGACUACACAUGUUCUACAUUUUUAUGUAAUAUUCAAAAGUGACACCUGAAACGCGUACGUUUAGACGUUUUUUCAUAUAAGCCCAAUGGAAGCGCCAGUGUGAAAACCGUCCGUUAUCCACUUUUGGACAUGUAUUUUUUCCGACAUUUUUGAAAAGCUUAGAUUUUCACAGCAAACGAUCAGAAACUCGAUGUUGUUCCCGAAUUAGAAUUCGAUGUGGCCUGGGACAUGGCUCUAUGUGACAUAUCUACAUUGGUGCAUGGGGCAAGAGGGUGAGGCCAUAUAGCGUCCUUGAUACGAUAUACGGUCUGACUCUCAGUAAUAUAAUGGAAUAUACCUUCUCAUUUAUUAAUAUACCGUAAAUAUACCACCCUACUUAAGCAAGUAAGCCGCGGACUAUUGUAUUGUAUAUUCUUAUAUCCUUCCAUUUACUUACCAACCAAAAUUUCCACGAUAUCUUUCAUCUGAACUUCCAAAAAUUUAAUCAUAUUCGUGGAGUGUAUUGUAAUACCCACUGUUUAAUCGUUCUCUAUCCAUGAUCGGAAAUCAUUUUUCUCGAUUUGGACAUUCUGUCCAAUGUAACUGGAUAUCUGGGCCCCUCAGCCCGGAACACAAAGUUUUAUCCGAGUAAUAAAUCAAUUUCUAUACAAUACUGGCUAAUUUGAACGAUCCACUUUAUUAAAUAGCUCAGAAUAUUAGGUUUCAACAAAAAAAUCCUUUUUUUACAUGGCAACUACACGGUAACUACACACUUGCCACAUAUCAACAACAUAUUUACGGAGUAUGCUUUUUUAUACAACCAUACAAACCAUAAGCUGCAAAAUUGCGUUGAAAAAGCUUUCACUUGUGUCUGCAUUCAUUGAACCCUUAACUCUGUAAUAUCUUUCCCUAGGGUAAGCGGAAUGAAGCUCAUUCCCUUGCUAUGUUUCGGGACACUGCUGCUAUCAAUACUAUCGACUAGAUAAUCGCUAGCACUGCGCGCCAAAGUGGAAUUUUUUGAAUGUGAAUAAGUGACAAGGAGCAUGUUGCGCCCCUGGCGGAGGGAAGCGAGAUAGCAGCAAAGCAGGUGUUGGUGUGAGAAGUGAAAAAGAGAGAGACAGACGUAGCGGAAUAACUAACCAUCGGGGUUCCUCUCCUUCUCUCUAUGUGUUUUAUGUUAAAGAGAUCCCCCUCACCAGAGUAUCCAUCAAAUUAAUUCGUCCCGUUUGCAAACAGCGAAACAGAGGGAUGGAGAGUAUGCGGCAGUCAUCGGCUCCGAGAUUCAUUCCGGGACUUACUUAUAUUCUCGCUUGUGGCAAUUAAAAUUUUUUUAAACCAGUAGAAUUUUAGUUGAAGGUUUAAUAUUUAUACAAAUUUAAAAAUACACAUAAGUUGGUAUAUAUGUAUAAAAUGCACAUUAGACCUGGUUUAAUUGCACAAAACUCUCAGCUUGAUGCUUCAGGUAGGACUUGCGGCAAUCCAAAUCAUCUGCGGGACGAUUAUGUGGGGUCCAGACGGGUUCUCCAACGAAAUACCGACGGGCUUUGAUAAAGUUCUAUGGGGAUACGAGAGUAACGAUUAGAAAACAAUAAUUUUGCCAUAAGGAAUGCAAUUUACAUUAGAGUCCAACGUGAAACGAUGGUAGAUACCCGCCGGAAUAA
Drosophila miranda is the source of this 1644-nucleotide long non-coding RNA. RefSeq lists it as uncharacterized. The record is from RefSeq and is a predicted model, not a curated record. NCBI's taxonomy places the organism in Eukaryota, Metazoa, Arthropoda, Insecta, Diptera, Drosophilidae. The transcript has 2 exons.